CCCCUCCCAAAUCUACACACGGAGCCGAAAUCCCCAAUUCCCCUCUCUCUCUCUCCCCCAUCGUCUCCCUCCCGCACCCGAGCGCUAGCGAAUCCAGGCAGCGGCGCGAGGAGGCGGAGAUGGAGUCGGACCAGGGCAAGCUCUUCAUCGGCGGCAUCUCCUGGGAGACGACGGAGGAGAAGCUGCAGGAGCACUUCUCCACCUUCGGCGAGGUCUCGCAGGCCGCCGUCAUGCGCGACAAGCUCACCGGCCGCCCCCGGGGCUUCGGUUUCGUAGUUUACACCGACCCCGCCUCCGUCGACGCCGCUCUCCUAGAGCCCCACACCCUCGACGGCCGCACGGUCGAUGUCAAGCGUGCGCUCUCCCGUGAGGAGCAGCAGGCUUCCAAGGCGGUGAACCCUAGCGCCGGAAGGAACGCUGGGGGUGGAGGAGGAGGAGGAGGUGGUGGCGGUGACGCCGGUGGUGCUCGGACGAAGAAGAUCUUCGUGGGUGGACUGCCCUCCACUCUCACAGAUGAAGAGUUCCGCCAGUACUUCCAGACCUUUGGCUCUGUCACUGAUGUUGUGGUGAUGUAUGACCAGACCACACAGCGUCCCCGGGGGUUUGGCUUCAUCACCUUUGACUCGGAGGAUGCCGUUGACCGUGUGCUGCACAAGACCUUCCAUGAUCUCGGUGGAAAGAUGGUAGAGGUGAAGCGCGCGCUGCCACGAGAGGCAAACCCUGGCUCUGGCGGCGGCGGGCGAUCCAUGGGAGGUGGGGGUUUUCAUAGUAACAGUGGUCCUAACUCCAACGCUAGCAGCUACGAUGGCAGAGGUGAUGCUAGCAGGUAUGCUCAGGCGCAGCAGGGCAGUGGUGGCUAUCCGGGCUAUGGUGCUGGAGGUUAUGGUGCUGCUCCAACUGGAUAUGGAUAUGGACCUGCUAAUCCUGGAACCACAUAUGGAAACUAUGGGUCUGCAGGAUAUGGAGGCGUUCCUUCUGCGUAUGCUGGUGCCUAUGGCAAUCCAAGUUCUGCUGCUUCUGCUUACCAGGGAGGCCCCCCAGGGACUAACAGAGGACCCUGGGGCAGUCAAGCCCCGUCUGGUUAUGGCACUGGGGGCUAUGCUGGCAAUGCAGGGUAUGGUGCAUGGAACACUUCUUCUGCUGGUGGAAAUGCACCCACUAGUCAGGCACCUGGUGGAGCUGCAGGUUAUGGAAACCAGGGCUAUGGUUAUGGUGGAUACGGAGGGGAUGCAUCAUAUGGUAAUCAUGGAGGAUAUGGUGCUUAUGGUGCACGGGGAGAUGGUGCUGGCAAUCCUGCUGCUGCUGCAGCAUCUGGGUAUGGUGCUGGAUAUGGAAGUGCGAAUGGCAACUCUGGAUAUCCAAAUGCAUGGGCUGAUCCUUCACAGGGCGGAGGAUUUGGUGCUUCAGUCAAUGGAGCUUCUGAAGGCCAAUCAAAUUAUGGCAGCGGUUAUGGUGGUAUGCAGCCUAGGGUUGCUCAGUAAGAGGGAGGCCAUUAUAAUGUCUAUCAAGUGAACCAGCGCAUUUGGGCUUUGCUCUCGUCCUCCUGAAGAUCGUCCAUUCUGCUGGUUGCAUCAGCAUUUCUCCUGGUGGCACAGGAUGCUAUUCCUUUUUUAAUCAUGUCCAAGUGAGAGUGAGAAUGGGCAUCAGAAACCCGCUGAUUUUGCUUGAUGAGCUGAUGAGAAGUUGCAAUUUUGGAGCAUUGACACAGGCACAGAAUGCAAGCCACUAGCUUUUUAUGUGCUUCAUUUUCUUGAGGAUCUUGUGCUGUGCUACAAGAUGGAUCGUUCACUUCGAGUGUAAUACUGCCUGACAAUAUGAUUGCUGGACAGGUCAACAGGUGCACUGUUUGAAAGUAUGUUAAGCUGGAGAUGUUGCUGAAGGUAUCAGAGUUCAUUUCAUGAGAAGACAUCAGUAUAUUCCAGUUAUUGGUCAGUAACACGAGAUUUGGAGGAUGUCAGUGGGUCCUCCUUACAUGUGGAUUUGUUUCCUUGAAAUUCAGAUCUCAAUUCUCCCAUACAAGCUGUACUUCUCAGAACAAGCAACCAGGCUCUGCAUGCCAUGAGUCAAAUUUAUGUUCUCCUGUCAAGGAAGGACACAUCGGUUAAUGAUUUUCCAUGAUGUGUCGUUUAGAAAGCUUUGAUGUCAAACAUCUCUAAAAUAAAAUUUUAUCUUGAAGUGACUCAUUUGCGAUA
Molecule: RNA transcript, 2192 nt
Organism: Lolium perenne
Lineage: Eukaryota; Viridiplantae; Streptophyta; Magnoliopsida; Poales; Poaceae
Gene name: heterogeneous nuclear ribonucleoprotein 1
Source: RefSeq, a predicted model, not a curated record